GAGUGAUGAAGGUUUUCGGAUCGUAAAACUCUGUUGUUAGGGAAGAACAAGUACGAGAGUAACUGCUCGUACCUUGACGGUACCUAACCAGAAAGCCACGGCUAACUACGUGCCAGCAGCCGCGGUAAUACGUAGGUGGCAAGCGUUGUCCGGAAUUAUUGGGCGUAAAGCGCGCGCAGGCGGUCCUUUAAGUCUGAUGUGAAAGCCCACGGCUCAACCGUGGAGGGUCAUUGGAAACUGGGGGACUUGAGUGCAGGAGAGAAGAGUGGAAUUCCACGUGUAGCGGUGAAAUGCGUAGAGAUGUGGAGGAACACCAGUGGCGAAGGCGACUCUUUGGCCUGUAACUGACGCUGAGGCGCGAAAGCGUGGGGAGCAAACAGGAUUAGAUACUCUGGUAGUCCACGCCGUAAACGAUGAGUGCUAAGUGUUAGAGGGUUUCCGCCCUUUAGUGCUGCAGU
RNAcentral lists this ribosomal RNA (458 nucleotides) under uncultured Bacillaceae bacterium. RNAcentral describes it as "bacterial SSU rRNA". It matches the Rfam family "Bacterial small subunit ribosomal RNA", at positions 401 to 852 of the family's 1533-position model. Lineage: Bacteria; Bacillati; Bacillota; Bacilli; Caryophanales; Bacillaceae. The record is from RNAcentral.